AACCUCAUCCCAUUCUUUCUUGGGUUUGGUUGACUCCUCACCAUCUAUAAUCUUGGUGGGUGUGUGAGGACCGUUCACUAUGAUACUCCACAUAUCAUAGUUGAGUGCUUGUAUGAAAAUCUUCAUCCGAGCUUUCCAAUAGGUGUAAUUAGACCCAUUAAAAAGUGGAGGUCGGUUUGUUGAUUGCCUCUCGGCUAGAGAAGUACCAACAUGGGUUGCCAUAGAUCUUUGGCUCUUUGAUUGUUAGAUCAAAGAAGGGCUAGAGCAUCGGGCUCUGAUACCACUUGUUGCCCAGCUAUGCAACCCAAGAGGGGGGGUGAAUUGGGUUUCUAAAAGUUUUAGAAUUGAUUAAUUACUUAUGAUGAACAAGACAAAGAUUUUAAUUCAAUAUUAAAUACCUAAAAUAGGAAUGCAAGGAUAUAAUAAAGAAAUAAAGUGAAGCGAUAAAGCACACCACAAACACAA
Molecule: long non-coding RNA, 465 nt
Filed under: Elaeis guineensis (African oil palm)
Lineage: Eukaryota; Viridiplantae; Streptophyta; Magnoliopsida; Arecales; Arecaceae
Description: long non-coding RNA (EGUI_LNC015387)
Source: RNAcentral